Molecule: long non-coding RNA, 1467 nt
Filed under: Bemisia tabaci
Lineage: Eukaryota; Metazoa; Arthropoda; Insecta; Hemiptera; Aleyrodidae
Description: lncRNA ENSSWEETPG000677
Source: RNAcentral
GAAAAAGAGAAAAAAGAGUUAGAAGAAGUGAAGAAAGACGCGAAGGCUGUCGUAAAUAAUGAUGUAAAUAGUGAACCAUACGCCACUAUUGCCACUAGCAGUACAAUAGAUAGUCCUGAUGGCGUUAAAGAUAACAAAUUGGGGCAGUCGGAGUUUUCUCCAAGUCAUACUCCUGUUCUCCCCAGUAGAGCUUCUUCACCAGUAUCGAAAAAAACUGGAGAUGACAAAGAACUCAGCGUAAAUGAAUCAGCAAUCCACUGUUUUAAUAAUACACCUAAAUAAAAAAUGAACCUUCGCUCAGCCCUUAUAAUAGGCUAGAAGACAGUCAGCUGGACACUGCAAAAGGGAAAACGCCUGUAAAAGUUGUGAAGGAAUCUAUCCUGAGCUUGGAUUUACCAGGACUAGAAGUUGUAAGUUCUGAUGAUGAUGGUCCAGUCACUCCUCCAUCAUCAGAAACAAGAAAUCUUGAUCGUUCUGUAACCCUUGGAAGCAAUGCUGGCUAUGCUAAAACUUCAAUGAGCAUGGCUUAUUGUGGAACUGCAAAAUUGAAGCGGCCGAAAAAUAGUUCACAAGAGACGCCCCUCGAGAAAUAUUUAUCCACCCUUCGAAGGGACCAAUAAAGAUUGGGGAGAGAGGUGUGUUGAUGUGUUGAGAUGAUAGCACAAAUUGGUGAAGGAAUGUAUGGUCAAGUGUACAAAGCGAGAGACAGACAAGCAGUUUGUGAAAUUUUUCAUUUUUCCCCUUUAUUGUUUAUGUUGAAGUCAUCUAUUAAUAUCCUCUGAGAAAUGAGGGCAAAAUUAAUCCUAAUUAAGACACCAUCCAUUUUUAUGAAGAAUGAUAGAGUGAUAUUUUUAUUAAAGGGUGGUUAUGGCAAUUUUCUACAUUUGAGAAACAUUUUUUCGAAAGUCUGAAGUGCUGUGCCUCUGAAAUCCAUAUCAAUGACCAAGGAACAAUAUUGCUUAUCAGCAAACUGACAAUUUCACAAGACAAAGAAAGAAACUUAGCCAUUUUUCAAUUUCUGGGUUAGUUUUGCAAUUUCCUUCACAUAUUACCGAUUCCUUACAGCGCUUCCACGCGAAAGUGAAGAAAACUAAGACAUCAGCUUCCGUUUUAUCCUUUAAAAUGCAGCAAAGUCUCUAACUCAUUUUCACCAAAAUUUUCAGUUUUGCGGUAUUGCGGUUCAGUGAUAUCUGAGCACCAAAUGCAGGUAGGACGUAGACAGUGCCAAAGCAAUACAAGAGACUGCUAGAGCAGAAACCACCCGCAGUAAAGCAAAAUCAACCCCUGAAAACUCAACAUUUGAGAAUGUUUAUGCCCUUUUUAUGGCUCAUGCAGUAAAAAGAGAAAGGACUUGGGUUAAUGAAUGGGUCCGAAGAGUUUGUGAAAACGAAAUUAACCCACUUGGAGGCGGCAGGUCCGUGUGCAUUCCCCUUCUUAAUAAUAUCAGACAAUAUCUCUAUCAUAACU